Molecule: long non-coding RNA, 536 nt
Filed under: Meriones unguiculatus (Mongolian gerbil)
Lineage: Eukaryota; Metazoa; Chordata; Mammalia; Rodentia; Muridae
Description: lncRNA (ENSMUGG00000019675.1)
Source: RNAcentral
CUCGAGGCUCUGUGGCUGCCAUUUUCUCAGAGGUGUCUAUGUGAGUGAAAAACGGUGUCUCAGGAAAUCUUGGUGGCUUCAUCUCAUUUCCAAUGUUCGUGGAAGUAGCACUUCGUUGAAAGCAUUGCUAUAACUAUUCUGCCAUAGGAAUACUUCUGUCUAUCUGCUUUCUCAUCCAAGAAAUUGUCAUCACACUGCUCAGGCUUCGUCUCUGAUGAGAUGUGUCCCUCAAUCCAUACGAAUGAUUUUGCAUCAAAGGACACGCACCUCUUUUGGAAGACUUGAGUUUUGUUCUUAGGAAGGCCGCUUUAGUUGAAUGUGUUAAGUGAAAUGCUUAUACUUUCCUCCCCCUCUGUCAACUGCUGCGGAUGCUGUAUGGUGUGUGCACUCCUCUGUUAUUGAUCUGGAGGAGUAGAAACCUGAGCUGAAGCUGAUAGGCUGAGAACACAGACUGAGCUUAUGGAGUGCUUUGCAGAAGAACUUGGAAGCAGAGUUCUCCAGUGAGCUCAGGUGUCUAAAGGAGGGUGGAAGUUCUC